UUAUUUAAUGGCCGCGGUAUUUUGACCGUGCAAAGGUAGCAUAAUCAUUAGUUUAUUAAUUGUGGACUUGUAUGAAUGGUUGGACGAGAUAUUUACUGUCUCAUAUUUAUUAGUUGAAUUUAAUUUUUUUGUUAAAAAGCUUAAAUUUUAUUGUAAGACGAGAAGACCCUAUAGAUCUUUAAUUUUUAUUUUAUUACAUUUUUUGGUUUAUAUUUUUAUAUUAAUUUAAUAUUUUUUGUUGGGGUGACAUGGAGAUAUAUUUAACUCUUUAUAUUUUAUACAAUUAUUUUUGAUUUUUUGACCUUUUAUUAUUGUUUUAAGAUACAGAUACCUUAGGGAUAACAGCGUAAUUUUUUUUGAGAGUUCCUAUCGACAAUAAAGAUUGCGACCUCGAUGUUGGAUUAAGAUAAAUAUAAGGUGUAGGUGCUUUAUGUAAUAGGUCUGUUCGACCUUUAAAUUCUUACAUGAUCUGAGUUCAAAACCGGAG
Molecule: ribosomal RNA, 487 nt
Filed under: Paraphasma amabile
Lineage: Eukaryota; Metazoa; Arthropoda; Insecta; Phasmatodea; Pseudophasmatidae
Description: partial large subunit ribosomal RNA
Rfam family: Bacterial large subunit ribosomal RNA
Source: RNAcentral